This 516-nucleotide ribosomal RNA is filed under the name Streptomyces sp. 313H01. RNAcentral's name for it is "bacterial SSU rRNA". It matches the Rfam family "Bacterial small subunit ribosomal RNA", at positions 93 to 623 of the family's 1533-position model. Lineage: Bacteria; Bacillati; Actinomycetota; Actinomycetes; Kitasatosporales; Streptomycetaceae. The record is from RNAcentral.
UAGUGGCGAACGGGUGAGUAACACGUGGGCAAUCUGCCCUGCACUCUGGGACAAGCCCUGGAAACGGGGUCUAAUACCGGAUAAUACUGUGCCCCUCAUGGGGGACGGUUAAAAGCUCCGGCGGUGCAGGAUGAGCCCGCGGCCUAUCAGCUUGUUGGUGGGGUAAUGGCCUACCAAGGCGACGACGGGUAGCCGGCCUGAGAGGGCGACCGGCCACACUGGGACUGAGACACGGCCCAGACUCCUACGGGAGGCAGCAGUGGGGAAUAUUGCACAAUGGGCGAAAGCCUGAUGCAGCGACGCCGCGUGAGGGAUGACGGCCUUCGGGUUGUAAACCUCUUUCAGCAGGGAAGAAGCGAAAGUGACGGUACCUGCAGAAGAAGCGCCGGCUAACUACGUGCCAGCAGCCGCGGUAAUACGUAGGGCGCAAGCGUUGUCCGGAAUUAUUGGGCGUAAAGAGCUCGUAGGCGGUUUGUCACGUCGGGUGUGAAAGCCCGGGGCUUAACCCCGGGUCUC